CACUCUCACUCAUGUGGCCUCUCACACUUUCCAGGGGCAUCUGAAGAUGUGACUCAGAUCAUCUCCCGUGUGCCGGGCACUGUUCUAGGUUGGAGGGCGCAGCCGUGAAUAAGAGAGACCAAAGUCCCUGGUCUUCUGGACUCCUACUCCAGUGGCGCGAGAGACAACGAGCCUGCUGGCUCCCUUGCUCACUCACCCUGAGCUCCCGUGGAAAUGUCGCCCGGCCUGCCCCCUACCGCCCCCUCCUGGGCACCACUGCCCCACACCGAAUGCCGGCGAGGGAGCAACCGGGGUUGACCCUUGAGCUGCAGGUGAGACCAGGUGAGAAAGCGGGUGGGGAGGCAGGUGGAAAGGAAGCUCGCGGAGCGUGUGGGUCAGAGCGUCGGUAAAGAUACAGGCCAGCCUGCGGCGGGAGAUGUCGGCGUGGGCCAGGCGGGAGUGCCCGGAAUGUAAGUGGAUACUACCGGGGCGUAGGUGGGACCACAGGUCAAGGUUCAGAUGACAAUAUCGGUGGUAGGAACGCGGGUGAGGGUGCCGGCAGGGGCAGGUAAGCACGCAGGUGGGAAGGCUGGGCUGAGGGGCAGGCCAGGCCGGCAGGCGCA
This is a long non-coding RNA of Mustela lutreola (European mink), 602 nucleotides long. RefSeq lists it as uncharacterized. Lineage: Eukaryota; Metazoa; Chordata; Mammalia; Carnivora; Mustelidae. The transcript has 3 exons. The record is from RefSeq and is a predicted model, not a curated record.